RNAcentral lists this transfer RNA (68 nucleotides) under Alphaproteobacteria bacterium. Its description in RNAcentral is "tRNA-OTHER". Lineage: Bacteria; Pseudomonadati; Pseudomonadota; Alphaproteobacteria. The record is from RNAcentral.
GGGCGGUUUGGUGUGAAUUCGUGUUCACAUCGCGGGGGUCGCUGGUUCGAGUCCAGCAUCGCCCACCA